RNAcentral lists this long non-coding RNA (1366 nucleotides) under Marmota monax (woodchuck). The record is from RNAcentral. Lineage: Eukaryota; Metazoa; Chordata; Mammalia; Rodentia; Sciuridae.
CGCGCGCUCGCGCACGCGCACGCCGCGCCCGGCAGCCCUCGGCGCUGUCAUGGCGGCCGGGAGCAGCUUCAGUGGGCGCAGGGACGGCGGUGCGAGCCGUGGCGGGGCGAGUUGUGGCAGUAGCAUCCUCAUCACCAUCAGCAGCCUUAAUCGUGGCGUCGGUGACGCCAGCAGUGGCUGUUUUUGCAAAGGCUGAGCGCAGGGGUGGGGCGGGCCAGGAAACCAUGGAGUUCUGUGCAGCCGCGGGCUCCCGGGGAGCGGACUAGGGAAACUUGGAGGCUGCGACCAGGUGCACUGACCUCUCUCCUUCCUCCUCUCCUCGCCCUGGGGCCUCCCGGGCUGCCUCCCUUCCCUUCCUGCCACAGCACACACCUCCCCUCCUCUCGCCACCGAACCUCAGGUGCCCGAGAGAGGUGCUCCACUCCUCCCCCUGGGCCGAGCGUUGAGAUAAUCACCGCCCCCUUCCCCCGCCUUUUCCUGCCCUGGUUCUCCGCCGCCACCUCCGUCUGGCUGCUCCCUGGCAGGGGGCGAGGACAAGUCCGGAGUGUUGGGUGAGGAGGAACUUUCUGCCUCGGUGGUGGCGUGGGGGGUCCCCUCCCUUCCCCGGCCCCUCCUGUCCGCGCGACAGUUUCUCUUCCGUGCACCUGUGAGGAGAGGUUGCCCUGCGCCCUGAACCUGCGGGAGUGUGGGGGAGGAGUGAACCUGCUCCGGGCCUCGCGGACCCGCCUUCGCCAGAACCGGCUCCGGGAGCCCGGGAGAAGCGGGCGGCUGGUGGCGGGGUGCCUUUAGUAACUUACUUGACGGACAAUAACUAUUCCCCCCAAACAGUCCCCUCAAACCAAACCUAGUCUAUUUAACACAUAUUUAAUCUUCCAAUAGGGUUUGGCGUUGUUGUCAGCCUCGGGGAGAGAGAUUGGACAAAUAUUCUCCAAGAGGAAGAGGGCGACGCCAAGGACUUUCCACAUCAACUGCUUUUGGGGUUUCUCCUCAAGUUGGAAGAGAGACCCUUUUCGUUUUGCUUUGCGUGUCCUGUGCUUAUUACCAGUGCAGCUACUGCUGCCUCUGGGUGACUCCGAGUUGUCCUUCCUCGUGAACUAGCAAUGGCUAGUGAAGACAAUCGUGGCCCUUCCCCGCCACCAACAGGUGAUGACGAGGGAGGUGGAGGGAAAGAAGAAACCCCUGCGGAAGGGGGUGCAUUGUCUCUGAAGCCAGGGCUCCCCAUCAGGGGCAUCAGAAUGAAAUUUGCCGUGUUGACCGGAUUGGUUGAAGUUGGAGAAGUAUCCAAUAGGGAUAUCGUAGAAACUGUCUUUAACCUGGUAAGUAGAUGAAUAUUUUAUAAGCAUAUACUUUUCUUGGUGAGUUGGAG